Molecule: ribosomal RNA, 697 nt
Filed under: uncultured organism
Description: bacterial SSU rRNA
Rfam family: Bacterial small subunit ribosomal RNA
Source: RNAcentral
AGAGUUUGAUCCUGGCUCAGAAUGAACGCUGGCGGCGGGCUUAAUGCAUGCAAGUCGAGCGCCCCUUCCGGGGACCGGGGGACGGGUGACUAACACGUGGGAACGUACCCUUUCGUCAGCAACCCCCGAUACAGGGAACAGCUAUGGAAACAUGCGCCCUACCGGGAAAGGAAUGAUCGGCCCGCGCCUGAUUAAGUAGCUGGUGGGGUAAUGGACGACCCAGCCGACCAUCAGUAACUGGGCUGAGAGGAUGAUCACCCACACUGGGACUGAGACACGGUGUGAACUCCUACCCCCCCGCAAUGGUGGGGAAUCUUAGACCAUGGUCCAAACCCUGAUCUAGCCAUGCCACGUGACCCAUUAAAGCCUUAUCGUAGUCAACCUCUCUCCCCGGAUAAAAAAAGGCCUGUGGUUGGAAAAUCCUUUCCGGCUAAAUCAGUGCCGACGGUACCCCUGGAACAGAGGGGGCUAGCGUUGUUCCAAAUUACUGGGCGUAAACGCGCGCGUAAGCCGGCUGUUGGAUUUGCGGUGAAAUCCCCGGCCUCAACCCUGGAACUGCCUCCGAUACUGGCACUCUAGAGCACGGCAGAAGACGUUGUACUGUACUGUGUGUAUGUGAGAUGCCUAAAUAUACUGCAGAUUACCGAUGACCAAUGCGACUGGCUGACCCGUUUCUGACGCUGAUGUGCGAAAGCGU